This 1699-nucleotide long non-coding RNA is filed under the name Equus caballus (horse). Its description in RNAcentral is "lncRNA (ENSECAG00000044244.1)". Lineage: Eukaryota; Metazoa; Chordata; Mammalia; Perissodactyla; Equidae. The record is from RNAcentral.
AAGAACAUGAAACCGCCUGAAACUUCACCACCCAGCCGUGGCUCAGCCGGUGCUGGGGGACGGCUGGCCACUGAGGACGAAGCCCCUCGGGGGAGCAGGAAAAGUGCGCCACUUUCCUUCAGUGGCUCUGGCAUUUUGGACGAGUAACUUGACUUCUCUGGACCGCAGUUUCGCUGUCUAAGGGAAGGCGUCACAGGAUGGAUUCUGAGGUCUUCCUGGCGCUGCCGUUCUACAGGACGUCAGCUUCCAGGAUCACAAGCUUCGAUCAGGACACAGUGAACUUCUCCACGCUGGUGGGUAGCGGGGGCUUCAGGCCGGGUGACUGCAGAGACCAGUGGCUCCUGAGAGAGUUUGCUUCGGGUGAACAUAUCACAGAGCCUCUGUAACAUUUCCUCGCACAUCCUGCCAGGUGUCUGGAGUCUGUUGCAAGCACAGCCUGUGUUGGAGGGCGCCGCUCAGCCCGGGGCUCGGGAGAGCUGGAGUGAACCCUGGCCCUGUCACCAGAUUCUAGAUGCCCUGGAGCCUCUAAUGUCCCUGAGCCUCAGGUUUCCCGUCUGUGAAAUGGGGGGAACAUCUCCCUUUCCUAGCCAACAGAUUUACUCUAUCACAUGAGCAAAUGUACAGAGAAGCAUUUAGAAAAAAAAAAAUGCAGCCCUGAAAACACGUGAAAGAGAUAAGGAUCAUGUGUAGACGUGAGUCCAUCCACUCAAUGGAAAGUGGGGCUUCAUUUGGGGCUCCAUCCUGUGCUGAGAUAGAGACAGGCUAAUCACCAUAAUCAAGGACUCAAACAAACAGCAGCCGACUUACUAACCAGGUGAAUGGGAAAUAGAGAGGCAGUUUCAGAGCCUGGCUUUCGGUAAAUGUUAGCCCUACUGCCGCAAAGCCGGCAGCGAGUGCUUCGAGAGCAGGUGGGAGACGAGGAGAGGUUUCCUGGCCCUUGCCCUUCACCUUGGUCACUGACUCAGUGCGAAACAGCGCCUGCGGGGAGGAGCAGAGUUCUCAUCCUGGUUCACAGCUCAGCCUGCGGCCACAAGUGGGGGCAGUGAGCUGAGUUCACGGCAAAGGAUGACUAAACAGCCUCCUCAUCGUUAAUAACAAUAAUACUUGGCAUUUAUCUAGUUCUUUAUGUUUUCAGAGUGCUUUACAAUCAUUAACCAGUUAGCUAGCACUCACCAGCACCCCACCAUCUGCCUGCUGUGCCGAGGAGACAGGAGAGCCAGCGUCAGCUGCCUCUGUUUCCCCAAAGUCCCCUCAUGGUUCUCCGAAGCACAGUGCAAACAGCAACUGUUCAACAGCAUCUACUGAGGGCUCCAGCAUAACAUAAGGAAACUACAGAGCAGAAAAAGAAAUUUCGGGUAGAUAUCAGCUGCCCCACAGGCCACUGGCCCUCCUCAUCAGGAUCGUCUUCCCCAGCUACCUCUUACUGAAGAACCAACCCAUCCCCCUGAAGGCAGGACAGAUAAUCUCUCCUGGAGGUUGUCCCAUAACAUCCAGCCUGACACCUGAUGACUUUCAAAAGAAGAAAACCUUCAUCAAAAGGGUUCCUUCCAGAAGAAAAGGACAGAUUAACUCCAAGGGCUAAUUUCCUUUUCCCCUAGAAUGCAAAAAUCACUCACAAAUCCGAAAUGGAAAUUUCUCGGUUUCAACCACGUCAGGGUCCAGACUCAACCUUCAUUAACAGGAAAAAACUGCCAGUAAG